This 229-nucleotide ribosomal RNA is filed under the name uncultured bacterium. Its description in RNAcentral is "partial 16S ribosomal RNA". It matches the Rfam family "Bacterial small subunit ribosomal RNA", at positions 568 to 796 of the family's 1533-position model. The record is from RNAcentral.
CGUGUAGGCGGUUUAGCAAGUCGGAUGUGAAAUCCCAGGGCCCAACCCUGGAACUGCAUCCGAUACUGUUAGGCUAGAGUCCCGGAGAGGAUGGCGGAAUUCCCGGUGUAGGGGUGAAAUCCGUAGAUAUCGGGAGGAACACCAGUGGCGAAGGCGGUCAUCUGGACGGUGACUGACGCUGAGACUCGAAAGCGUGGGUAGCAAACAGGAUUAGAUACCCUGGUAGUCC